Molecule: long non-coding RNA, 1230 nt
Filed under: Marmota monax (woodchuck)
Lineage: Eukaryota; Metazoa; Chordata; Mammalia; Rodentia; Sciuridae
Source: RNAcentral
AAGACAUUUCUUUUUAAUAAUGACUUUAAUUAUACUUAAUAUAUUCUAGAUACAAAUUCCUGAACAGAUUUCUGAUUUGGAAAUAUUUUCACCCACUUUUGAAGUUGUCUUUUCACUUCCUUGAUAAUAUCUUUGAAUCAUAAAAGUUGUAAUUUUCAUGAAAUAUUUUUCUUUUAACAAUUGUAAUUUUGUGUCCUAUCUAAGAAGAUGUUUCCUACGCCAAGGUCACAAAGAUUUACUCCUGUGUUUUUUUGUUAAGAGUUUUAUAGUUUUAGCCCUUGUCUUCUGGGUUAAUAUUUAUAUAUUACAAGACAUGAAGGAAGAGUCCAACUACAUUAUUUUGAAUGUGUUCACCUAGUGGUCCCAGCAUCAUUUAUUGAAGACACUAUUUUUCUCUUUCAAUUUCUUCAGGCCCUUGUCAAAAAUCAAUUCACUAUAAAUACAAAGUUUUAUUUCUUUACUCUCAACUCUGGAACAUCAGUCUUUAUUCUUUUUCCAUUCCACAUUAUUUUUAUUUUUAUAGAUUUGUAGUAAAUUUUGAAAUUAGGAAUUGUGAGUCCUCCAACUUAUAUAUAUAUAUAUUUUAAAGAUUAUUUAAGCUAUUCUGGGUCCCCUGAAUUCCUCAUCAGUUUUUCAGGUCUGCUGGUCAGUUAAUGCAAAGGAGUCAGCUGGGAUUUUGAAAAGGAUUCCUUUAUCUGUGUUUCAAAUCCUAGAGUAUUUUCCUCUUAAUAAUAUUAAUUAAGUCUUCAAGUUCUUGAACACAGGGUAUCUUUCCAUUUGGUAGGUCUUCUUAGAUGCUUUCAACAAUGUUUUGUAGUCUUCAAAUGAUAAAUAUUGUACUAUUUUUUUAAACUUAUCAGUAUUUGGGGGGUUUUGAUGUAAUGAUAAAUGAAAUUUGCUUUCAGUUUAGGAUUAUUAAAAUCUAGCUCAUAGAAAUAAAAUUGAUUUUUUAUAUUGAUUUUGUAUCCUACAACCUUGCCAAACUCAUUUAUUAGUUUUAACAGUUUAUUGCUAUUGCUUAGUGCUUCAGUAGGGUUUUCUAAAUACAAGAUCGUGUCAUCUACAAACAAACAAUUUUUGUUUUUUUAUUUGUUGUUUGUUUGUUUGUGGUGGUGAGGAUUAACUCAGGGGUUCUCUACCAAUAAAUAACAUUCUCAAUCCUUUUUUAUUUUUUAUUUUGAGACUGAUUGCUCUCUAAAUUGCCCUGACUGGCCAUGAAUUUGUCCUGCC